Molecule: long non-coding RNA, 332 nt
Filed under: Capsicum annuum
Lineage: Eukaryota; Viridiplantae; Streptophyta; Magnoliopsida; Solanales; Solanaceae
Description: long non-coding RNA (CANN_LNC019910)
Source: RNAcentral
UUCUUUUUGCCCUCUGGAGUAUUUGCUUACUAGAGUGACAACCUCUUCAACAACAGGAAGCUCCCCAUUAACCACUAAUUGAGUGAAAACCUUUUCAUGGUAUCAAAGCCUUGCGAAGACUCACGUCCCACAAUAGCACUUCCCUCAAUUACCAGUAUCACCACACAAACCCCUUCCCAGAAUUUUUCGUCGCUCACAACCAAUGUUAAUCAGGAUCAUCUUCUUAGACCGUUAUAAAUAUAUUGUGUGGGAAUCACAAAUUCUCCCAGUUCUAAGGGGUAACGAACUCGAGGGAUAUGUGGAUGGUACGCACAAGUGCCCUCCAAAGUUCA